Long non-coding RNA from Daktulosphaira vitifoliae (grape phylloxera), 344 nucleotides. RefSeq lists it as uncharacterized. The record is from RefSeq and is a predicted model, not a curated record. Lineage: Eukaryota; Metazoa; Arthropoda; Insecta; Hemiptera; Phylloxeridae. The transcript is spliced from 2 exons.
GAUUCGUUCAUUGACUGAACGUUUACCUGCACUUCGGUUAAAACCUAUGCCUAACCUAGAGAGAAAUAAUAAAACACCGUGCGCAGUAUUAAUCCUUUAUGAAUAUUGUAUGUACAUGAUGUUUAUUUUAAAUUCUAUUUUGUUUAAUAAUUUGAACAGUUUUUCUUAAAGUGCCUCAGUUUUCCAUAAAUGUAUAUUUUAAACAAACAACAUUUUUCUCCAGAAAACCUGCUUGCGAAUGGGGGUUAAAUCCUAUUAUAGUCUACUGCUGUGCGGCAAAGAAAAAAAAGUCUAACUAGCUCAGCGCAAUGGAAUUGAACCUCUCUGUCUUUAUUCUGAAGUAA